CCCUUAGAUGUUCUGGGCUGCACGCGCGCUACACUGACGCCUACAGCGAGUACUUCCCAGCCCCGAGAGGUGGCUGGUAAUCAGCAAUAGGCGUCGUGAUGGGGAUAGAUCUUUGGAAUUAUGGAUCUUGAACGAGGAAUGCCUAGUAAGCGCAGGUCAUUAGCCUGCGCUGAUUAAGUCCCUGCCCUUUGUACACACCGCCCGUCGCUCCUACCGAUUUCGAGUGGUCCGGUGAAUCUUUCGGACUGCGCGCGGCCUCGUGCCGUGUCGCGGAAAGUCAGGUAAACCUUAUCACUUAGAGGAAGGAGAAGUCGUAACA
Molecule: ribosomal RNA, 319 nt
Filed under: uncultured eukaryote
Lineage: Eukaryota
Description: partial 18S ribosomal RNA
Rfam family: Eukaryotic small subunit ribosomal RNA
Source: RNAcentral